UUUUGCAUAUGAACUGUGGUC
This 21-nucleotide non-coding RNA is filed under the name Caenorhabditis elegans. The record is from RNAcentral. Lineage: Eukaryota; Metazoa; Nematoda; Chromadorea; Rhabditida; Rhabditidae.